This is a small nuclear RNA of Peromyscus maniculatus bairdii (prairie deer mouse), 105 nucleotides long. Lineage: Eukaryota; Metazoa; Chordata; Mammalia; Rodentia; Cricetidae. The record is from Ensembl.
GUGCUCGCUUCGGCAGCACAGACUAAAAUUAGAACGAUACAGAGAAGAUUGGCAUGGCCCCUGCGCAAGGAUGACACGCACAUUCGUGAAGCAUUCCAUAUUUUU